AACGAACGCUGGCGGCAUGCCUAACACAUGCAAGUCGAACGAGACCUUCGGGUCUAGUGGCGCACGGGUGCGUAACGCGUGGGAACCUGCCCUUAGGUUCGGAAUAACUCCCCGAAAGGGGUGCUAAUACCGGAUAAUGUCUUCGGACCAAAGAUUUAUCGCCUUUGGAUGGGCCCGCGUUGGAUUAGCUAGUUGGUAGGGUAAAAGCCUACCAAGGCGACGAUCCAUAGCUGGUCUGAGAGGAUGAUCAGCCACACUGGGACUGAGACACGGCCCAGACCACAAGGGGGGCAAGAGGGGGGGAUAAUGGAAGAAGGGGAGAAGCCUGAAAACAGAAUGGCCGGGGGAGGAAGAAGGCCUUGGGGGGGGAAAAGUCUUUUUCCCGGGGAUGAAAAGAAGAGGCGGGGGGAAAGAGCCGCGGAAAAACCCGUGC
RNAcentral lists this ribosomal RNA (433 nucleotides) under uncultured bacterium. RNAcentral's name for it is "partial 16S ribosomal RNA". It matches the Rfam family "Bacterial small subunit ribosomal RNA", at positions 29 to 508 of the family's 1533-position model. The record is from RNAcentral.